Molecule: non-coding RNA, 320 nt
Organism: Pelobates cultripes (western spadefoot toad)
Lineage: Eukaryota; Metazoa; Chordata; Amphibia; Anura; Pelobatidae
Source: the annotation of a GenBank genome assembly
AGGACCUCCAGCGUCACCGGCAUCCCAAUAGGAAACCAUUGAAUAAUGCUUUCCUAUGGGGAGGUGUAAUGCACACACAUAGUCGAUGAUGACCCAAAAGCUCUUUCAAUGGGGACAUGAGUGUCAGAAAUUGGCCAUGGAGCAUUAGAAGAAGGAUGGCUGAUCUAAUGAUUUACAAAUUCUUUUAGAUCAGAUGGAUAUCCAAGAAUGUAUUUGUCAUUUACUUGGGGAAGAGAUGGCAGCAGAAUGCACCAUGAGAAGAACGCAGGCCAGCGGAGGUAGUGUUAUGAUCUGGGCAAUGUUCUGUUGGUUAAUUUUGG